RNAcentral lists this ribosomal RNA (475 nucleotides) under uncultured Streptococcus sp. RNAcentral's name for it is "bacterial SSU rRNA". It matches the Rfam family "Bacterial small subunit ribosomal RNA", at positions 908 to 1382 of the family's 1533-position model. The record is from RNAcentral. Lineage: Bacteria; Bacillati; Bacillota; Bacilli; Lactobacillales; Streptococcaceae.
AAUUGACGGGGACCCGCACAAGCGGUGGAGCAUGUGGUUUAAUUCGAAGACAACGCGAAGUAACCUUACCAGGUUCUUGACAUCCCGAUGCUUAUUUCUAGAGAUAGAAAGUUACUUCGGUACAUCGGUGACAGGUGGUGCAUGGUUGUCGUCAGCUCGUGUCGUGAGAUGUUGGGUUAAGUCCCGCAACGAGCGCAACCCCUAUUGUUAGUUGCCAUCAUUCAGUUGGGCACUCUAGCGAGACUGCCGGUAAUAAACCGGAGGAAGUGGGAUGACGUCAAAUCAUCAUGCCCCUUAUGACCUGGGCUACACACGUGCUACAAUGGUUGGUACAACGAGUUGCGAGUCGGUGACGGCGAGCUAAUCUCUUAAAGCCAAUCUCAGUUCGGAUUGUAGGCUGCAACUCGCCUACAUGAAGUCGGAAUCGCUAGUAAUCGCGGAUCAGCACGCCGCGGUGAAUACGUUCCCGGGCCUU